Molecule: ribosomal RNA, 283 nt
Filed under: unidentified marine bacterioplankton
Lineage: Bacteria
Description: partial 16S ribosomal RNA
Rfam family: Bacterial small subunit ribosomal RNA
Source: RNAcentral
AACGGUAACAGGAAAUAGCUUGCUAUUUUGCUGACGAGUGGCGCACGGGUGCGUAACGCGUAUACAAUCUACCUUUUGCUGAGGGAUAAGCCCAGAGAAAUUUUGGAUUAAUACCUCAUGGUAUUAUUGAUAGGCAUCUAUUAAAUAAUUUAAAGGUUACGGCAAAAGAUGAGUAUGCGUCCCAUUAGCUAGUUGGCGAGGUAACGGCUCACCAAGGCAACGAUGGGUAGGGGUCCUGAGAGGGAGAUCCCCCACACUGGUACUGAGACACGGACCAGACUCC